UUUGUUACUUCAAACCAAUCGGACUUCGGUCUGAACUCAUGUGAUACUGAGCAAUUUAGCUGAUCGCACGGUCCAAGCACCGGCGACAUAUCCUUCAAAUGUCUGCCUUAUCAACUUUCGAUGGUAGAUUAUGCGCCUACCAUGGUUGUAACGGGUAACGGAGAAUCAGGGUUUGAUUCCGGAGAGGGAGCCUGAGAAACGGCUACCACAUCCAAGGAAGGCAGCAGGCACGCAAAUUACCCACUCCCGGCACGGGGAGGUAGUGACGAAAAAUAACAAUACGGGCGUCUUUCGAGGCCCCGUAAUUGGAAUGAGUGCAAUCUAAAUCCUUCAACGAGGAUCUAUUGGAGGGCAAGUCUGGUGCCAGCAGCCGCGGUAAUUCCAGCUCCAAAAGCGUAUAUUAAAGCUGUUGCAGUUAAAAAGCUCGUAGUUGGAUCCUGGACAUUCUGGGCGGGCGGUCUGCCUCACCGGCGGACGUCGGCUACGCUCAGGUCUACGUUGCUGGGGAGGAUCGUGGUGCCCUUCGCCGGGUGCCGCGGUCUGCCCGCAAGUCUUACUUUGAAAAAAUCAAAGUGC
Molecule: ribosomal RNA, 576 nt
Filed under: uncultured eukaryote
Lineage: Eukaryota
Description: bacterial SSU rRNA
Rfam family: Eukaryotic small subunit ribosomal RNA
Source: RNAcentral